UUGGAGGGCAAGUCUGGUGCCAGCAGCCGCGGUAAUUCCAGCUCCAAUAGCGUAUAUUAAAGUUGUUGCAGUUAAAAAGCUCGUAGUUGAAUUUCGAGACCGGUCUACUGGUCGUGCUUUUGUACGUACUGGUUUUAUUGGUUUCUCCUUUCUGACGAACUAUAAUGCCAUUAAUUUGGUGUUAUGGGGAAUCAGGACUGUUACUUUGAAAAAAUUAGAGUGUUUAAAGCAGGCUCACGCUUGAAUACAUUAGCAUGGAAUAACGGAAUAGGACGUUUGAUUCUAUUUUGUUGGUUUCUAGGAUCGACGUAAUGAUUAAUAGGGAUAGUUGGGGGCAUUAGUAUUCAAUUGUCAGAGGUGAAAUUCUUGGAUUUAUUGAAGACUAACUACUGCGAAAGCAUUUGCCAAGGAUGUUUUCAUUAAUCAAGAACGAAAGUUAGGGGAUCGAAGACGAUCAGAUACCGUCGUAGUCUUAACCAUAAACUAUGCCGACUAGGGAUCGGAUGAUGUUAAUUUUUUAAUGACUCAUUCGGCGCCUUACGGGAAAC
RNAcentral lists this ribosomal RNA (548 nucleotides) under uncultured Glomus. RNAcentral describes it as "SSU rRNA". It matches the Rfam family "Eukaryotic small subunit ribosomal RNA", at positions 548 to 1098 of the family's 1831-position model. RNAcentral also lists the same sequence under 1 other name. The record is from RNAcentral. Lineage: Eukaryota; Fungi; Glomeromycota; Glomeromycetes; Glomerales; Glomeraceae.